RNAcentral lists this ribosomal RNA (715 nucleotides) under uncultured archaeon. RNAcentral's name for it is "bacterial SSU rRNA". It matches the Rfam family "Archaeal small subunit ribosomal RNA", at positions 1 to 723 of the family's 1478-position model. The record is from RNAcentral.
UUCCGGUUGAUCCUGCCGGAGGCCACUGCUAUUUGGAUUCGACUAAGCCAUGCGAGACGUGAGGGUUCGGCCCUCGUCGAACUGCUCCGUAAUACGCAGUCAACCUGCCCUCAGGAGGGGAAUAAUUUCGCGAAAGUGAAGCUAAUGCCCCAUAGGUACUUGGUGCUGGAAUGCUCUUGUACUCAAAGCUCCGGCGCCUGAGGAUGGGACUGUGGGCUAUCAGCUUGUUGGGGAGGUAAAGGCUCCCCAUGGCGAUAACGGCUACGGGCUAUGGAAGUAGGAGCCCGGAGAUGGACUCUGAGACAUGAGUCCAGGUCCUACGGGACGCAGCAGGUGCGCAACCUUUGCAAUGCAUUAACGUGUGACAAGGGAAUCCAGAGUGCUCCAACACUGUUGGAGCUUUUGUUCACUGAAAAUAGGUGGACGAAUAAGGACUGGGAGAGACGGGUGCCAGCCGCCGCGGUAAUACCCGCGGUCCAAGUGGUGGCCGCAAUUAUUGGGCUUAAAGCGUUCGUAGCCGGGUCUAUAAGUCCUUGGUGAAAUCCUGUAGUAGACUACAGGGCGUGCUGGGGAUACUGUAGGCCUUGGGACCGGGAGAGGGUAGGGGUACUCUUGGGGUAGGGGUUAAAUCCUGUAAUCCUGAGGGGACCACCAGUGGCGAAGGCGCCUACCUGCAACGGGUCCGACGGUGAGGGACGAAAGCUACGGGAGCGAA